Molecule: non-coding RNA, 30 nt
Filed under: Mus musculus (house mouse)
Lineage: Eukaryota; Metazoa; Chordata; Mammalia; Rodentia; Muridae
Source: RNAcentral
UGAGUGUCUAGGAAAGAGUUCCAGUGUGUC